AUACUUACCUGGACCGAGUCAAUGGGUGAUCAUUAAAGUCCAUGGCUUAUGCUAGCGACCUCCAUUGCACUUUGGAGGAGUGCCGGUGUAAGGUCGACCCAAUUGGCCGAGCCUACGUCAUAAUUUGUGUUAGAGGAGGCAUGUGUUCGCGCGACCUCUGC
This 161-nucleotide small nuclear RNA is filed under the name Erythranthe guttata (spotted monkey flower). RNAcentral's name for it is "Mimulus guttatus (spotted monkey flower) U1 spliceosomal RNA". It matches the Rfam family "U1 spliceosomal RNA". Rfam says of the family: U1 is a small nuclear RNA (snRNA) component of the spliceosome (involved in pre-mRNA splicing). Its 5' end forms complementary base pairs with the 5' splice junction, thus defining the 5' donor site of an intron. Lineage: Eukaryota; Viridiplantae; Streptophyta; Magnoliopsida; Lamiales; Phrymaceae. The record is from Rfam by way of RNAcentral.